Molecule: ribosomal RNA, 254 nt
Filed under: uncultured bacterium
Lineage: Bacteria
Description: partial 16S ribosomal RNA
Rfam family: Bacterial small subunit ribosomal RNA
Source: RNAcentral
UACGUAGGCAGCAAGCGUUGUUCGGAGUUACUGGGCGUAAAGGGUGCGUAGGCGGUUAUUUAAGUUUGGUGUGAAAUCUCCCGGCUCAACCGGGAGGGUGCGCCGAAUACUGAAUGACUUGGAGUGCGGGAGAGGAAAGUGGAAUUCCUGGUGUAGCGGUGAAAUGCGUAGAUAUCAGGAGGAACACCGGUGGUGUAGACGGCUUUCUGGACCGUAACUGACGCUGAGACACGAAAGCGUGGGUAGCAAACAGG